Molecule: ribosomal RNA, 253 nt
Filed under: uncultured bacterium
Lineage: Bacteria
Description: partial 16S ribosomal RNA
Rfam family: Bacterial small subunit ribosomal RNA
Source: RNAcentral
UACGGAGGGUGCAAGCGUUAUCCGGAAUCACUGGGUUUAAAGGGUGCGUAGGCGGCUAAAUAAGUCAGAGGUGAAAGCUUGCAGCUUAACUGCGAAAUUGCCUUUGAUACUGUAUAGCUUUAAAGGAGCUGAGGUCAGCAGAAUGUGGCAUGUAGCGGUGAAAUGCAUAGAUAUGCCAUAAAAAACCAAAUGCGAAGGCAGCUGGCUGGGCUUACUUUGACGCUGGGGCACCGAAGCCUGGGGAUCGAACAGG